ACUAUUGUCACGGGUUACCGCGGCUGCUGGCACGGAGUUAGCCGGUGCUUCUUCUGUGAGUGAUGUCCUUCCUGCCGGCUAUUAACCCGCACGGCCUUCUUACCUCACUGAAAACGUGCUUUACAACCCGAAGGCCUUCUUCACACACGCGGCAUGGCUGGAUCAGGGUUGCCCCCAUUGUCCAAUAUUCCCCACUGCUGCCUCCCGUAGGAGUCUGGGCCGUGUCUCAGUCCCAGGUGUGGCUGAUCCAUCCUCUCAGACCAGCUACGGACUCGUCGCCUUGGUGAGCCGUUACCUCACCAACCAGCUAAUCCGACAUAGGCUCAUCCGAUAGCGCGAGGCCCGAAGGUCCCCCGCUUUCCCCCGUAGGCGUAUGCGGUAUUAGCCUGGGUUUCCCCAGGUUAUCCCCCAGUACC
RNAcentral lists this ribosomal RNA (416 nucleotides) under uncultured bacterium. RNAcentral describes it as "partial 16S ribosomal RNA". The record is from RNAcentral.